Molecule: long non-coding RNA, 571 nt
Organism: Mus musculus (house mouse)
Lineage: Eukaryota; Metazoa; Chordata; Mammalia; Rodentia; Muridae
Product: predicted gene, 51819
Exons: 3
Source: RefSeq, a predicted model, not a curated record
CUCCAGAGUGCUGGGAUUAAAGGUGUGCGCCAUCACCGCCCAGCUUAGUUUUGUGUUUUAACUAACUAUUAUUUUCUGUAAUUCUAGGUUCAUCUUUAACUUUUUCUGCCUCAACCUUUGACUAAAGACUAGAAUGAGUCCAAAGAGCUUGUUUGUCUUUACGAGAAAGAUAGUGCAGGAAUUGGAAAGAUGAUUCGGUUCCCAACACCCAUAUGGUGACUCACAACUGUCUGUAUCUCCAGUUCCAGGGGAUCUGACACCUUCUUGUCUCCAUGGAUACGAGGCACACAUGUGGGGGACAAAUGCACACGCAGACAAAGCACUAUGCUGUACACACAUCUCUGCACUGAGAUGAAGUAAAAUAAAACCUCUUAGGUUAAUGAGACGGCCCAUCAGGAACCGGCACUGCCUGCCAAACGUGACAACCUGAGGUCCAUCCAGGGAACAACCGACAUUCUCAGCUUGUCCUGUGAGUGCCACACUGAUGUUAUGCUACUCACAGAGAAGAAAUAGGAGCCCCUGGAUCGUAGGAGCAUCGGUGGUUAUCAAAUGGGUCUCACUUACUUAGACC